Acanthoscelides obtectus is the source of this 72-nucleotide non-coding RNA. Lineage: Eukaryota; Metazoa; Arthropoda; Insecta; Coleoptera; Chrysomelidae. The record is from the annotation of a GenBank genome assembly.
GUUAUUUUGGUGCAGUGGUAAAACGUCUGCCUUGUAGACAGAAGAUAUCGAGUUCAAUUCCUGAUGGUAGUA